CACGGCGGGUGCAAGCGUUAUCCGGAAUCACUGGGUUUAAAGGGUGCGUAGGCGGCUAAAUAAGUCAUAGGUGAAAGCUUGCAGCUUAACUGCGAAAUUGCCUUUGAUACUGUAUAGCUUGAAAGGAGCUGAGGUCAGCAGAAUGUGGCAUGUAGCGGUGAAAUGCAUAGAUAUGCCAUAGAAUACCAAUUGCGAAGGCAGCUGGCUGGGCUUACUUUGACGCUGAGGCACGAAAGCGUGGGGAUCGAACAGG
This 253-nucleotide ribosomal RNA is filed under the name uncultured bacterium. RNAcentral describes it as "partial 16S ribosomal RNA". It matches the Rfam family "Bacterial small subunit ribosomal RNA", at positions 524 to 776 of the family's 1533-position model. The record is from RNAcentral.